UGGGGGAUAUUGCACAAUGGGCGAAAGCCUGAUGCAGCGACGCCGCGUGGGGGAUGAAGGCUUUCGGGUUGUAAACCUCUUUCGCUAUCGAACAAGGCCCGCUUAGGGUGGGUUGAGGGUAGGUGGAGAAGAAGCGCCGGCUAACUACGUGCCAGCAGCCGCGGUAAUACGUAGGGCGCGAGCGUUGUCCGGAAUUAUUGGGCGUAAAGGGCUUGUAGGCGGCUUGUUGCGCCUGCUGUGAAAACGCGGGGCUUAACUUCGCGCGUGCAGUGGGUACGGGCAGGCUUGAGUGUGGUAGGGGUGACUGGAAUUCCAGGUGUAGCGGUGGAAUGCGCAGAUAUCUGGAGGAACACCGAUGGCGAAGGCAGGUCACUGGGCCAUUACUGACGCUGAGGUGCGAAAGCAUGGGUAGCGAACAGG
This 420-nucleotide ribosomal RNA is filed under the name bacterium. RNAcentral describes it as "partial 16S ribosomal RNA". It matches the Rfam family "Bacterial small subunit ribosomal RNA", at positions 355 to 776 of the family's 1533-position model. The record is from RNAcentral.